Molecule: ribosomal RNA, 215 nt
Filed under: uncultured bacterium
Lineage: Bacteria
Description: partial 16S ribosomal RNA
Rfam family: Bacterial small subunit ribosomal RNA
Source: RNAcentral
UUACUCAGUUCAGAUUGCAGGCUGNAACCCGCCUGCAUGAAGUCGGAAUUGCUAGUAAUCGCGGAUCAGAAUGCCGCGGUGAAUACGUUCCCGGGUCUUGUACACACCGCCCGUCACACCAUGGGAGUCGGGAAUGCCCGAAGUCGGUGAGCUAACGAAAGAGGCAGCCGCCGAAGGCAGGCCCGGUAACUGGGGUGAAGUCGUAACAAGGUAGC